UACGUAGGGACCAAGCGUUGUUCGGAUUUACUGGGCGUAAAGGGCGCGUAGGCGGCAAUUCAAGUCAUCUGUGAAAUCUCCGGGCUUAACUCGGAACGGUCAGGUGAUACUGCUUUGCUAGAGUGCGGAAGGGGCAACUGGAAUUCUCGGUGUAGCGGUGAAAUGCGUAGAUAUCGAGAGGAACACCUGCGGCGAAGGCGGGUUGCUGGGCUGACACUGACGCUGAGGCGCGAAAGCCAGGGGAGCGAACGGG
RNAcentral lists this ribosomal RNA (253 nucleotides) under uncultured bacterium. RNAcentral describes it as "partial 16S ribosomal RNA". It matches the Rfam family "Bacterial small subunit ribosomal RNA", at positions 524 to 776 of the family's 1533-position model. The record is from RNAcentral.